Molecule: ribosomal RNA, 159 nt
Filed under: Senegalia senegal
Lineage: Eukaryota; Viridiplantae; Streptophyta; Magnoliopsida; Fabales; Fabaceae
Description: 5.8S ribosomal RNA
Rfam family: 5.8S ribosomal RNA
About the family: 5.8S ribosomal RNA (5.8S rRNA) is a component of the large subunit of the eukaryotic ribosome. It is transcribed by RNA polymerase I as part of the 45S precursor that also contains 18S and 28S rRNA.
Source: RNAcentral
CGACUCUCGGCAACGGAUAUCUCGGCUCUCGCAUCGAUGAAGAACGUAGCGAAAUGCGAUACUUGGUGUGAAUUGCAGAAUCCCGUGAACCAUCGAGUCUUUGAACGCAAGUUGCGCCCGAAGCCGUCUGGCCGAGGGCACGCCUGCCUGGGCGUCACG